Molecule: ribosomal RNA, 450 nt
Filed under: uncultured bacterium
Lineage: Bacteria
Description: partial 16S ribosomal RNA
Rfam family: Bacterial small subunit ribosomal RNA
Source: RNAcentral
GUGGGGAAUAUUGGACAAUGGGCGAAAGCCUGAUCCAGCCAUGCCGCGUGUGUGAAGAAGGUCUUCGGAUUGUAAAGCACUUUAAGUUGGGAGGAAGGGCAGUAAGUUAAUACCUUGCUGUUUUGACGUUACCGACAGAAUAAGCACCGGCUAACUUCGUGCCAGCAGCCGCGGUAAUACGAAGGGUGCAAGCGUUAAUCGGAAUUACUGGGCGUAAAGUGCGCGUAGGUGGUUUUGUAAGUUGGAGGUGAAAUCCCCGGGCUCAACCUGGGAACUGCCUCCAAAACUGCAUGACUAGAGUACGGUAGAGGGUAGUGGAAUUUCCUGUGUAGCGGUGAAAUGCGUAGAUAUAGGAAGGAACACCAGUGGCGAAGGCGACUACCUGGACUGAUACUGACACUGAGGUGCGAAAGCGUGGGGAGCAAACAGGAUUAGAAACCCGUGUAGUCC